GAUGAAGAACGUAGCGAAAUGCGAUAAGUAAUGUGAAUUGCAGAAUUCAGUGAAUCAUCGAAUCUUUGAACGCACAUUGCGCCCGCCAGUAUUCUGGCGGGCAUGCCUGUUCGAGCGUCAUUUCAACCAUCAAGCCCCCGGGCUUGUGUUGGGGACCUGCGGCUGCCCGCAGGCCCUGAAAACCAGUGGCGGGCUCGCUGUCACACCGAGCGUAGUAGCAUAUCAUCUCGCUCUGGGCGUGCUGCGGGUUCCGGCCGUUAAAGCCUUUUCUUUACCCAAGGUUGACCUCGGAUCAGGUAGGAAGACCCGCUGAACUUAAGCAUAUCAAUAAGCGGAGGA
Molecule: unclassified non-coding RNA, 339 nt
Filed under: soil metagenome
Description: partial contains 5.8S ribosomal RNA, internal transcribed spacer 2, and large subunit ribosomal RNA
Rfam family: 5.8S ribosomal RNA (bases 1-120)
Source: RNAcentral